AUUGAACGCUGGCGGAAUGCUUUACACAUGCAAGUCGAACGGCAGCACGGGGGCAACCCUGGUGGCGAGUGGCGAACGGGUGAGUAAUACAUCGGAACGUGCCCAGUCGUGGGGGAUAACGUAGCGAAAGUUACGCUAAUACCGCAUACGAUCUACGGAUGAAAGCGGGGGACCGUAAGGCCUCGCGCGAUUGGAGCGGCCGAUGUCAGAUUAGGUAGUUGGUGGGGUAAAGGCUCACCAAGCCGACGAUCUGUAGCUGGUCUGAGAGGACGACCAGCCACACUGGGACUGAGACACGGCCCAGACUACUACGGGAGGCAGCAGUGGGGAGUUUUGGACAAUGGGCGCAAGCCUGAUCCAGCCAUUCCGCGUGCAGGACGAAGGCCUUCGGGUUGUAAACUGCUUUUGUACGGAACGAAAAGGCUCUGGUUAAUACCUGGGGCUCAUGACGGUACCGUAAGAAUAAGCACCGGCUAACUACGUGCCAGCCGCCGCGGUAA
RNAcentral lists this ribosomal RNA (500 nucleotides) under uncultured bacterium. Its description in RNAcentral is "partial 16S ribosomal RNA". It matches the Rfam family "Bacterial small subunit ribosomal RNA", at positions 30 to 523 of the family's 1533-position model. The record is from RNAcentral.